AGCAGCCGCGGUAAUUCCAGCUCCAAUAGCGUAUAUUAAAGUUGUUGCAGUUAAAAAGCUCGUAGUUGAAUUUCGGGGUUAGUAGGUUGGUCAUGCCUCCGGUAUGUACUGAUCUCACUGAUUCCUCCUUCCUUAUGAACCGUAAUGCCAUUAAUUUGGUGUUGCGGGGAAUUUGGACUGUUACUUUGAAAAAAUUAGUGUGUUUAAAGCAGGCUAACGCUUGAAUACAUUAGCAUGGAAUAAUGAAAUAGGACGUUCGAUCUUAUUUUGUUGGUUUCUAGGAUUGACGUAAUGAUUAAUAGGGAUAGUUGGGGGCAUUAGUAUUCAAUUGUCAGAGGUGAAAUUCUUGGAUUUAUUGAAGACUAACUACUGCGAAAGCAUUUGCCAAGAUGUUUUCAUUAAUCAAGAACGAAAGUUAGGGGAUCGAAGACGAUCAGAUACCGUCGUAGUCUUAACCAUAAACUAUGCCGACUAGGGAUCGGAUGAUGUUAAUUUUUUAAUGACUCA
RNAcentral lists this ribosomal RNA (507 nucleotides) under uncultured glomeraceous AM fungus. RNAcentral describes it as "SSU rRNA". It matches the Rfam family "Eukaryotic small subunit ribosomal RNA", at positions 569 to 1078 of the family's 1831-position model. The record is from RNAcentral. Lineage: Eukaryota; Fungi; Glomeromycota; Glomeromycetes; Glomerales; Glomeraceae.